Magnolia sinica is the source of this 547-nucleotide long non-coding RNA. RefSeq lists it as uncharacterized. NCBI's taxonomy places the organism in Eukaryota, Viridiplantae, Streptophyta, Magnoliopsida, Magnoliales, Magnoliaceae. The transcript is spliced from 3 exons. The record is from RefSeq and is a predicted model, not a curated record.
AUAUUGGAAGGACUUCUUAAAUUGCCAAGGAACAGGGAAUGCACUGACUGUAAAAGCAAGUAGGUAUCUUAGUUGAAUUGUGAUAACGAAUGAUCUUUUAUUUCUAAAGCUGGGGGACAAGGAGCAAGUAGUGGGCACAUGUCAGUUACGGAUACUUCACAAAAUGAGACAUUGGAGGUUGGACCUGGGAAUUUGAAGAUGUCUUUUUCAUCAACAUCUGGACAACUGAAACGUAUAGCGAAUUAUAGAAUAGGGGUGAAAGAUUUGGAUGUGGAACUUGAAAGUACUAAGCAGAAAAGUAAACAAAACCUGCAACAAGCCAUCUUAAUUGAAAGGGAAAGAGUUACUCAAAUGCAAUGGGAUAUGCAAGAACUUUGUAAGAAGUAUUUAGAGAUAGAGUUGAAGCUAAAGUUCAAACAUGUUCCUUUUUUGUAAUUCUUAUGAUAAGUCGAGCAAAGUGAAGUAUUGUUUAUUUAGAAAUGUGACUGUGGGAUGCAUUGUAUGAUUUGAUUGCUAUUUGUAAUAAAUGCAUCAUUUUUUUUCCUGA